UACGACUACAUAUCAGGCAUAUCAAUAAGCGGAGGAAAAGAAACUAACAAGGAUUCCCUUAGUAACGGCGAGUGAAGCGGGAAGAGCUCAAAUUUGAAAUCUUCAAGGUUUUACCUUGACGAAUUGUAGUUUAAAGAAGUGUUUUCUGUUGAAGUUUCGGUAAAAGUUCUUUGGAAUAGGACAUCAUAGAGGGUGAGAAUCCCGUAUUUGACCGUUAUUUUCAGCUGUGUGAUACACUUUCAAAGAGUCGGAUUGUUUGGGAAUGCAGUCCAAAAUGGGUGGUAAAUUUCAUCUAAAGCUAAAUAUUGGCGAGAGACCGAUAGCGAACAAGUACCGUGAGGGAAAGAUGAAAAGAACUUUGAAAAGAGAGUUAAACAGUACGUGAAAUUGUCAAAAGGGAAGCGUUUGACACCAGUGUUGUUUUCUCGAAAAUCAAUUAAAAAUGGCUUGAUUUUGUGUUGUAUUGACCUUAAAAGCUUUCUUCACUUUUUUCAUGUCUUUUUUAAUGCACUUUUCGUUUAACAAGUCAGCAUCAGUUUCUUUUGUUGUAAAAAGGUCAUUGGAAGGUGGCUUUCCUUUCGGAUGAAAGUGUUUAUAGCCUUUGACUUCCUGCAAUCGGAGAGAUUGAGGUCUGCAGCGUAGAUCCCUUCUGGAUUAGAUACAUUUGUGCUAAGUUAUAGUUUUUCAUAGACAACAUGUUGACUAUGAUUAGUCAUGUAACUUACUCGCUUAUGCUAAUUUUACCUACGCUUAGGAUGUUGACGCGCGUGUGUGCGUG
Molecule: ribosomal RNA, 778 nt
Filed under: uncultured Neocallimastigales
Lineage: Eukaryota; Fungi; Neocallimastigomycota; Neocallimastigomycetes; Neocallimastigales
Description: partial large subunit ribosomal RNA
Rfam family: Eukaryotic large subunit ribosomal RNA
Source: RNAcentral